This 74-nucleotide transfer RNA is filed under the name Clostridium sp. RNAcentral describes it as "tRNA-Arg". It matches the Rfam family "tRNA". Rfam says of the family: Transfer RNA (tRNA) molecules are approximately 80 nucleotides in length. Their secondary structure includes four short double-helical elements and three loops (D, anti-codon, and T loops). RNAcentral also lists the same sequence under 4 other names. The record is from RNAcentral. Lineage: Bacteria; Bacillati; Bacillota; Clostridia; Eubacteriales; Clostridiaceae.
GGACCGGUAGCUCAGCUGGAUAGAGCAACAGCCUUCUAAGCUGUGGGUCAGGGGUUCGAAUCCCCUCCGGUUCA